GAUGAACGCUGGCGGCGGGCCUAAUACAUGCAAGUCGAGCGAACGGACGAUAAGCGUUCGUCUCUGAGGGUAGCGGCGGACGGGUGAGUAACACGUGGAUAACCUACCUAUAAUACGGGGAGGACUUCGUGGAACCGGAGCUAAUACCGGAUGAUAUUUUGAACCGCAUGGUUCAAAAGUGAAAGACGGUCUUGCUGUCACUUAUAGAUGGAGCCGCGCUGCAUUAGCGAGUUGGUAAGGUAACGGCUUACCAAGGCAACGAUGCAUAGCCGACCUGAGAGGGUGAUCGGCCACACUGGAACUGAGACACGGUCCAGACUCCUACGGGAGGCAGCAGUAGGGAAUAUUCCGCAAUGGGCGCAAGCCUGACGGAGCAACGCCGCGUGAGUGAUGAAGGUCUUCGGAUCGUAAAACUCUGUUAUUAGGGAAGAACAUAUGUGUAAGUAAAUGUGCACAUCUUGACGGUACCUAAUCAGAAAGCCCCGGCUAACUACGUG
This 497-nucleotide ribosomal RNA is filed under the name uncultured bacterium. RNAcentral's name for it is "partial 16S ribosomal RNA". It matches the Rfam family "Bacterial small subunit ribosomal RNA", at positions 28 to 507 of the family's 1533-position model. The record is from RNAcentral.